UACGAAGGGGGCUAGCGUUGCUCGGAAUCACUGGGCGUAAAGGGUGCGUAGGCGGGUUUUUAAGUCAGGGGUGAAAUCCUGGAGCUCAACUCCAGAACUGCCUUUGAUACUGAAGAUCUUGAGUCCGGGAGAGGUGAGUGGAACUGCGAGUGUAGAGGUGAAAUUCGUAGAUAUUCGCAAGAACACCAGUGGCGAAGGCGGCUCACUGGCC
This 211-nucleotide ribosomal RNA is filed under the name uncultured bacterium. Its description in RNAcentral is "partial 16S ribosomal RNA". It matches the Rfam family "Bacterial small subunit ribosomal RNA", at positions 524 to 734 of the family's 1533-position model. The record is from RNAcentral.